CACCCGCUGGUCGGGGACGGGCCCGGCGGUCGGCGGCCGCCGGGGCACCGCGGUCCGGGACCGGCUCGGCGGUCGGGUGCCGGCGCGCCUGA
This 92-nucleotide transfer RNA is filed under the name Streptomyces olivaceus. RNAcentral's name for it is "tRNA-Ala". The record is from RNAcentral. Lineage: Bacteria; Bacillati; Actinomycetota; Actinomycetes; Kitasatosporales; Streptomycetaceae.